GACUUCGUAGUUGAGUGGCAAAAACAUUUGCCUCUCACCCUGGAGUCCCGGGUUCGAUCCCCGUCCGGGAGCU
This is a non-coding RNA of Rhamnusium bicolor, 73 nucleotides long. Lineage: Eukaryota; Metazoa; Arthropoda; Insecta; Coleoptera; Cerambycidae. The record is from the annotation of a GenBank genome assembly.